GGCGAGAUAGCUCAGUUGGUAGAGCACUGGUCUGAAGAACCAGGUGUCCUCAGUUCGAAUCUGAGUCUCGCCACCA
Molecule: transfer RNA, 76 nt
Filed under: Candidatus Dormiibacterota bacterium
Lineage: Bacteria; Bacillati; Candidatus Dormiibacterota
Description: tRNA-Phe
Rfam family: tRNA
About the family: Transfer RNA (tRNA) molecules are approximately 80 nucleotides in length.
Source: RNAcentral